This 763-nucleotide long non-coding RNA is filed under the name Homo sapiens (human). RNAcentral's name for it is "HSALNT0311789". Lineage: Eukaryota; Metazoa; Chordata; Mammalia; Primates; Hominidae. The record is from RNAcentral.
AACCUGCCUGUCCUGCACCCUGGCCUGUCCUCUGGAGGUUAUCUGAUGAGGGCCUAUUCUGAGGGAAGCCCUCCCUGACUGCAGGUGCCUCCUUAGACUCCUCCAUCCCGGUGCUGGAUCUGGCAUGACCUCUGAAGUGCCCGGUGUCCAGCCUGGCAGAGUGGACGACGAGAAACAGGUGUUAGUAGAGAAAAAAAGGGCAUGUGUACCUAUGGAGGCAGCGUGUGGGUGUGGGUCCACAGUGAAAGCAGGAGGUUAGACAGGAGUGUCCUGCCUAGGCCAGUGAGCAGCCGGGGGUGUGAAGCACCAAGGGAGAGUAGGAGGGAAAACAAGGUGGGGUCAGCAGUGCCAGGCCCUGCUCACUGAGCCCCCUUUGCUGGUGGGCAGCCUCUGGCUCUAGUCACUCCUUCAGGACAGCCUUGUCUCACCCACACUUCCCUGUCCCACAGCAGGGGGCCCAGGCCCCAGCUUCAGCAUCAAGCCACCCAGGACAUGCAUCUGGCCUUUUGGAAAAUAGCCUGGAGAAUGCAGAGGAGAGGCUGCAGUCAGGCUGGCUGUGGCUGGAAAGAACCUGCUGUGGAUGAAGUUGACCUGGGACCCACGUGACCUGAGUGAAAAGAGCUAUGGGUUUGCAGGGGACACCGGUGCCCUGCUGCAGGUGGUUCUAGAGCUAGGUAUCCUGCAUCGUGACUUGAGCAAGUCAUGAACCCACUCUGAGCCUCAGUUUCCCACUCUGUUUUUGGUGUUUGGUUUGGUUUGGUUU